GGCGGCGCUGGCUGUCUGGGGCGCGCUGGCCUGCGGGGCCGGCGCGGCGGGAGCGGCGUUCGACGUGCUGCCGCCACCGCCA
This 82-nucleotide transfer RNA is filed under the name Caballeronia fortuita. RNAcentral's name for it is "tRNA-Arg". The record is from RNAcentral. Lineage: Bacteria; Pseudomonadati; Pseudomonadota; Betaproteobacteria; Burkholderiales; Burkholderiaceae.